UACGGAGGAUCCGAGCGUUAUCCGGAUUUAUUGGGUUUAAAGGGUGCGCAGGCGGGAGAUUAAGUCGGCGGUGAAAUUUUGCAGUUCAACUGUAAAAGUGCCUUCGAAACUGGUUUCCUUGAGUGUAGAUGAAGUAGGCGGAAUUUGUGGUGUAGCGGUGAAAUGCAUAGAUAUCACGAGGAACUCCGAUUGCGCAGGCAGCUUACUAAACCAUAACUGACGCUCAGGCACGAAGGCGUGGGGAUCAAACAGGAUUAGAUACCCCGGUAGUCCCUGA
Molecule: ribosomal RNA, 277 nt
Filed under: uncultured prokaryote
Description: partial 16S ribosomal RNA
Rfam family: Bacterial small subunit ribosomal RNA
Source: RNAcentral